UCNUCCCUUCCGACCUCUGNAUAGCGGCGGACGGGUGAGUAACGCGUGGGCAACCUACCCUUAAGACCGGGAUAACACCUCGAAAGGGGUGCUAAUACUGGAUAAGCUCCUUGUAGGGCAUCCUAUGGGGAGGGAAGGUAGCGGAAGCUACCGCUUAAGGAUGGGCCCGCGUCCCAUCAGCUAGUUGGUAGGGUAACGGCCUACCAAGGCGACGACGGGUAGCCGGCCUGAGAGGGUGGUCGGCCACACUGGGACUGAGACACUUUUCCAGACUCCUACGGGAGGCAGCAGUGGGGAAUCUUGCGCAAUGGGCGAAAGCCUGACGCAGCGACGCCGCGUGAGCGAAGAAGGCCUUCGGGUCGUAAAGCUCGAUAGUGUGGGAAGAAUAGAUGACGGUACCACACGAAAGCCCCGGCUAACUACGUGCCAGCAGCCGCGGUAAGACGUAGGGGGCGAGCGUUGUCCGGAAUUACUGGGCGUAAAGGGCGCGUAGGCGGCCACUUAAGUCAGGUGUAAAAAACCCGGGCUCAACCCGGGGGAUGCACAUGAAACUGGGUGGCNUAGAGGGCAGGAGAGGGGAGUGGAAUUNCCCNGGUGUAGCGGGUGAAAUGCNUAGAUAUCGGGAGGAAUACCAGUGGCGAAGGCGACUCUCUGGACU
Molecule: ribosomal RNA, 658 nt
Filed under: Thermoanaerobacter sp. 711-75
Lineage: Bacteria; Bacillati; Bacillota; Clostridia; Thermoanaerobacterales; Thermoanaerobacteraceae
Description: bacterial SSU rRNA
Rfam family: Bacterial small subunit ribosomal RNA
Source: RNAcentral